UGAGGAAUUUUGCGCAAUGGGGGGAACCCUGACGCAGCAACGCCGCGUGGGUGAUGAAGGCCUUCGGGUCGUAAAGCCCUGUCGGGCGGGAAGAACGUCCCUUCGGGGAAUGACGGUACCGCCAGAGGAAGCACCGGCUAACUCCGUGCCAGCAGCCGCGGUAAUACGGAGGGUGCAAGCGUUAUUCGGAAUUACUGGGCGUAAAGGGCGUGCAGGCGGGAGAGCAAGUCUGAUGUGAAAGCCCGGGGCUGAACCCCGGAAGGGCAUUGGAAACGGCGUUU
This 281-nucleotide ribosomal RNA is filed under the name uncultured prokaryote. RNAcentral describes it as "partial 16S ribosomal RNA". It matches the Rfam family "Bacterial small subunit ribosomal RNA", at positions 355 to 640 of the family's 1533-position model. The record is from RNAcentral.